Long non-coding RNA from Perognathus longimembris pacificus (Pacific pocket mouse), 190 nucleotides. RefSeq lists it as uncharacterized. The record is from RefSeq and is a predicted model, not a curated record. The transcript has 2 exons. NCBI's taxonomy places the organism in Eukaryota, Metazoa, Chordata, Mammalia, Rodentia, Heteromyidae.
GGGCUGGGAAUAUGGCCUACUGGCAAGAGUGUUUGCCUCGUAUACAUGAAGCCCUGGAUUCAAUUCUUCAGCAACCCAUUAACACAAAUGGCUGGAAGUGGUGCUGUGACUCAAGUGGUAGAGUGCUAGCCUUGAGCAAAGAGAAGCCAGGGACAGUGCCCAGGACCUGAGUCUAAGCCCCAAGACUGGC